GCCAUGAAAGUCCACUCUCAAAACCUCAUAUGUAUUUUGGUGGCGACAGUGGUUGCAGAGGCCUGAGCCUUGGCUUUCCAAAUCACUGACUGCUUUUAUUCCCCUCUCUUUAGCUUCUUUCAAAGUGGGAUCAGUUGCAGAAGCAAGAGUCGGAUGAGACUCUAGAUCGUGGCCAGAAUUUGUAUCAUCAUCUCAAAUAGAUUGACCCCUUCAAGUUGGUUGCUUGGUCUGAGUGGAAGAUAUUYCCAGAUAAUGCAUUUGUCUGAAUUUGCACAGUUGAAUGGUGGGGAGCACAGAGCCAUGGCGGGAAAAAGAAUGAAGAACAAUUAGAAGAUGYGAUAUCCAGGGAGCAGCAUGGGAAAUUCAGCCAGAGCUGAAGAUUGCCCAACUCCACAUCUUGUGGCUAAAGACCCAGCUGCCUGCUGCCAUUCUCACCAUUAUGCCUCGUGCUGAAAGGAAGCAACUGCUUUGUGAAGUCAGUGGAAAUACGCCAGCSCUCAACCAGCUGGAGACCUGGCCCACGCUUGGCUUCAGCUGAGCGGACUUCAAGCUCUCCUGUCUUGGCUUCAUAAACUGGCUCUGCAGAAGCUGACCUGGAUUGAUUUCCUCUUUACAAAGAGAAGCGGAUYGUGGUUGGAUUUCCUGACGUUUCUGCAGGUUGUGUGGGUGCAACUCCUAUUCGCUUCAGACUAUGGCCACGGAGGAAGUUCAGACCUGUGCUCCAGAGUCACCAUGAGCUUGGUCUGCUUUAGGCUGUUCUGCUCUGCGUGGCUGGCUGGUGAGCCUCGCUGCCCCAGCAGCCCUGGCUGCUCAUCCUUUCUGAGCCAGCAAGCGUAACUGCCAGUAGUCAGAUGGACGUGUUAAGGCUGGGAAGGACUCUUCAGCUUUCCGAAUUCACCCUUGAAUGUUUUGGAUGUCCAGAUCUGGAUUGUCAUUCUGAUUUGAGCCUGUCAUUGCCUGGAGAUGAGUCGAAUCCCAUUCGUAGGUGGCUGAAAAACACCUAAGGGACAGGUAG
Dromaius novaehollandiae (emu) is the source of this 1015-nucleotide long non-coding RNA. The record is from Ensembl. NCBI's taxonomy places the organism in Eukaryota, Metazoa, Chordata, Aves, Casuariiformes, Dromaiidae.